This is a long non-coding RNA of Notolabrus celidotus (New Zealand spotty), 1434 nucleotides long. RefSeq lists it as uncharacterized. The transcript has 9 exons. The record is from RefSeq and is a predicted model, not a curated record. Lineage: Eukaryota; Metazoa; Chordata; Actinopteri; Labriformes; Labridae.
GUCUCUCUCAUCAUACAUCAUCCCUCACUUCAUGUAUCUCAUAAUCCUGCGAUACCAGAGCCUAUAAAUUAAAAACAACAGGUGUGCCACGCUGACAUCGCUCACUCUGAAGAGAAACCUCUGAUGUGUAAAGAUGCUGUGGUUUGUGCAGGUGCACUGCUCACCUGCACUUCGUGGCCUGGUCGUUUGGGUCGGACUGGGUAGGACCGACGCCGCUCUUCCUGAACGGCAUCAUGUUGGACAGCCUGAGAGGAGAAACCAUGUAGGUUGUGUUCUUACUAAUUUAAUAAAACUUCAUGUGCAGUGAUUCCAGACUUCUCUUUACGACAGACUCACCUGGACUGCAGACCUGUCCCCGCAGAGGAAGUCUGAUCCUGGUUCUCCAUCAGGCUGCAGAUUCAGAGAGUGAAACAUACAGACAUUCAGAGAUGAUCCAGAGAAGAACACAAGGACUGGUGUGCAGCACCUCCCACAGAGGAUGGAGGGAAGAGGAGGGUGGAGUCAGCUGGCGUGAGCAGACAAAAAACAAGGGAAAGGAAACGUGUCCUGACGUCCAAACGAGUGAGGCUGCUUGAGUUUCUCUCCACAAGAGAUCAGAGCUGUGUCCUCGCUCUGAGAGGCCUCCUCUCUCCUCCAUCCUCAUCUCCUUCAGAUGCAUUUAAUAAAUUGGAGGAUCGUGAAUCAUACACGUCAGUGGAGGAGCAGGGACGCAAGGAUGCAUAAAUUGGGUAUCUCACAACUUUAGGAGCCGCUGUGCGAGAGGAGAGGAUGCAGAAACUCCAGGAGUAGAGUUUUAAAGUUUGAGUUUGGAGCUGAAACAAUCUGAGGACAGAUAAACCAGUUUGACCUCCUGCAUGAAUGAAUGAAGUGUUGUAGUGCGAGGAGGAGGAGGUGGAGGAGGAGUUGUGUUACCUCAGGGUGCAGGCAGCUCGCUUUCAGACGCACGUUUCUGUAAUUACAGCUGGAGGCCGGGGAACAGAUGACAUGUUGUUUCAGGGGGCAGCAGAGUGUGCAGACUCUUCUCUCUCUCAUCGUGAAAAUGAAGACAGGAGUGAGGGGGAGGUGGAGCGUACAGCCUGAAGAAGAGCCUUACCUUUCCUCUUUGGAGGUGGAGCGUGCAGACUAGAGGCCCCUCACCCUACAGCUCGGGAGCCUGAUGCAUGCUGGGAAAAGACAUGGCGGAUAAAUGACACACAGGAGAAAAGAUACUCUUCUAGGAUUUGUGAACGCCUCGUCACAUUUGAAUUACCCUCGGACGGAAGUUAACGAUCCUGUUGAGCUUCACGAUCAGGCACGGCUUCCCCUCCUUGUAGCCAAACUCGCGGUCCUCGAUGCCGGAGCAGGGGCCCAGCGCAGUCUUGGGGAAACGGCACGCCUUCCUGAUGCCGAUGUCGCUCUCCAGGUCGCCGCGGUUCCUGUACUCUGCGGGAUCCU